Myxocyprinus asiaticus (Chinese sucker) is the source of this 2625-nucleotide long non-coding RNA. RefSeq lists it as uncharacterized. NCBI's taxonomy places the organism in Eukaryota, Metazoa, Chordata, Actinopteri, Cypriniformes, Catostomidae. The transcript is spliced from 4 exons. The record is from RefSeq and is a predicted model, not a curated record.
UUGCACCAAAACUGAAUCUUGUUUCAUCUUGGCAAAAUAAUAAACACAUUUUACUACCCGUUCUUGUCAGAGAGCAUUCUCUCUUUCUUAGCAGUGCAUAGUAAACAAACAUGCAGAUCUCGCAUUCAGCAUGGCUUGUGAAACACUGCCUUUGGGAAUAAACAAAAAAAAAAAAAAAAAAAAAAAAAUCAUUGGAGGUUAUGCAGGUACAUAUAAAUGGAGGUUUACAUGGAGACAAGAAAGACUGCAUCGUCACGAUCUCGGUAAAAUUUGGGUUUAAAUAUGAGCAGAACAUUUUCUUGACAGUUUUCGUGAGAAUCACCCAUUUCUCAUACCACUCUGCGAUCUCUACAAGUAAGCAAAUCAAAUAAUUUCAACUCAAAUCAAUAUUUCAUGUCCAUUUAUUUAUUUACUUGGCAAUUAUUUAGAUGGUAAUUUUUGCUAUAUAAACACCUAACAGAAAUCUGACACAAACCGGAGGUUGCAAUUCAGCUGUUUCUGGACACUCCAUGGUCUCUUUCUUCACACAUAAUAAAGUAAUCUCAACUCAAGUCAAUAUUUCAUGUCCAUUUAAUUACUUAUUUGGUAAGUAGCCAUGUAAUAAGCAGGAUGAUCUACAGUCAGCCUGUUAUUAUUGCCAAAUAAACCCCUUCUAUGUGUGUUCAUAUUAGUGCUUGUGCCCUGUCGCCCGCAAAGCUGGGUGGCCUCCCGGGCUUGUAUGCAAGAUCUAGAGUGGCACAUUACAACGUAAAGACACACCAGUGGCCAUUGAGCCCCUCUUACUACCCACAAGGCCUUGUUUCAGAACAAAUGCUCUGAGUGGAGUUGAGAGCUCCGAGUGGACAAUUAGAAAAUGGCAGCAAGCGAGAAGAAAUUCUCCAUGACAGCUAUGAGCUGCUGUGCAGCAGUAAUAUGCUAAUGAUCUCAGCAGAUCCCAGCACAUACUGACACUUCCAGGUUUGAAAUUCAUAGCCUCAAACAGCUAGAGCAAACUCUCAUACUAUUGCUCCAUGUUUCUGAAGGCCAGUGAUUAGAACCAUUAGUAUUUGAAGCACUCUGAGGAGGAUUUCAGCUCUUAAAAUGAAAAUAUAGCUGAAUUGAGACCAAAAGCCUUGUCAAAUUUAGCAUACAAAUCUCUCCAAAAUGUAAUAUUUUAGCUGUUUAUAGCCUUUAAGGCAUCACAGGUCAUGGAUUAAUAGACAUAUAUGAGUAUAAUGAGCUUUCAUUUGCAGGUUUCCAGGAGCAUUUUGAGCUGGUGUCUCCUGCUUCAGAGGGGUCACAGCAGCGCCUGCCCCAGCCCCCCCUGGAAAAUAAAUUUUUCACUCUCAUAGACAGAUCAAAGGGUGAACACGCAGAUCAAAGAGCACAGACAUACAUCUCCAGUCAUAUCGGUGUUGUUUACAUGAAUGCUAAAGGCACUGAAAUCAAAUAUAUUUUACUGAAAAAUAUGUUUUGUGUCAAAGUAUUUUGAUGCCACUUUUGAAGUUCAGGGUAUAAUUUCAACUUUUCAGAUGAUGUGUCAAGCUUUAAUGUGAUUGGAGAAAUAAUUCCACUAUCCUAGACUCUUUACUCUCACCAUGGAAAGUAGAGAAAAAAACAUCAGUUUCAGUCUUAAGAUGCUUUCCAGAUGCUGCAUUUAACAAGGGUCACUUUUACUGUACAAGUUAGGCAAAACAUUUAAACGAAUCACACAGUUUAAUAUAUUUGUAUACAUGUAUACAAUGGAUAAGUUAAACAGCCUUACCUGGCUGAGACACGCUCCAAGCAUUCAUAUUAAUAAAAGCAUCUGAAGAUGUACAAUCUUUUUAAAUGAUCUUUUGAUUACAUUUUUUUAAUAAUUAUAUUCUCUUUUUUUUCUUCUAAUUUUCAUCUUGUUUGAGAUUAUUACACUUUUGUUGUUCUAGUUUUUCUUAUUCUUUUUAUUUAUUUUUUGUAAUUGUUUUUAUGCUUUUUCUGGAUAUUUACAUUGACCCAUGAAGCUGCUGUAGAGCCGAGGAGGGCGGGGCCGGGCUGGAAUGAGACACACCAGGUCCCCAAUCAGCCUGAUGGGGUGCGCGAGGGAUAAAGGCGGCCGGGGACGACAGUUCGAGAGAGAGAAUUGCAGGCAGCUGUACUGUGUGGUUUUUGGUUAUGUCGCCGAGAAGCAUUCCACUCUGCGUUGGAACAGAUGCACAGUGAUGUGUGGACGCCUGGAGCCGCUCCAAACAGCCGUAUGCGAUCAGCAGGGCAGAAGAGGUGACAGAACACAUCAGGCACGUUGGGGCCCUAGGCAGCUGCCUGUAUUGCCCGUAGGAUGGGCAGGCCCUUGGCCCAGCCAGAGUCUGGACUUGAAUCCAAUUGAAAAUCUCUGGAGAGACCUGAAAAUGGCUGUCCACCGACGGUCCCCAUCCAUCCUGACAGAGCCUGAGAGGAUCUGCAGAGAAGAAUGUCAGAAAAUCCCCAAAUCCAAGUGUGCAAAACUUGUCGCAUCAUACCCAAAAAGACUUGAGGCUGUAAUCACUGCCAAAGGUGCUUCAACUAAGUACUGAGUUAAGGGUCUGAAUACUUAUAUCAAUGUGAUAUUUCAGUUUUUUCUUUUUAAUAAAUUUGCAAAAGUUAUCAAAAAUCUGGUUUUUGCUUUGUCAU